This 789-nucleotide small RNA is filed under the name Pan troglodytes (chimpanzee). RNAcentral describes it as "processed transcript". The record is from RNAcentral. Lineage: Eukaryota; Metazoa; Chordata; Mammalia; Primates; Hominidae.
UACGGGCACUGCUCCAAGAGGCUCGAUCCUCUCAAGCCCCCAGCUCCCGGGUCUCCGCCACAAAGCCAUCUGUGAGGGCAGGUGGGAGCUUCAGGCCUGGGCCCUUUCCCUAGAUACCAGGUGGGCUAGCCCUGUCCCUAACAAGGAGCCAGGGUUGCCUUUUCUGUGGUUUCCAGAAAGGAGCCUCUCAGCUUCCUUCCUGUGCACCUUCUGCAGGGACCAGGCCCAAGCUUGGGUCCAGUAUAGCCCCAGGGUCCUGCACUUUGCCUUGGAGGAGCCCAGGUGUGAUUUGCCAGAACAGGAGAUAUUCCAGAUGAGAGGUGGUGGGCCCAGCGGUCACAGAGAUCUCAGCAUCAUCAAGGACCAACUGAACGUGUCCAACAUUGACCAGGUGGCCAGACACCUGAGGGGCCUUCUGGAGGAGGAGUGUCACACCUUGGAGAGGGAGAUCCUCAUCCUGCAGCGCUGCCUGGAAGAGGAGUAUAUGAGGCCUUGCCACCCCUCUGAGGCAGCCCUGGAGCCCACCCUGGCAGAGCUAAAGGAACAGAAGAAGGCCAUGGAGCAGGAGCUGCAGGCAUCUGUGGGGCCUUCUUGUGUCUCUCCCAACCACAGGCAGCGGCCCUUGGGGUCCUCCACACAGGGCCUCAGACCCCCGCGUCCCCUCUGCGGGGUUGCACCUCUCCAGUGCUGCCUGCCUGCACCUCCUCUGGAGCCCUACCUUCGACCUCGAGGCCAGUCAGCUACCCACCGCUGGGGAUGGCAGCUUCAGUGCAGCCCCAGGGAAGGGCC